Molecule: non-coding RNA, 216 nt
Filed under: uncultured Pseudomonas sp.
Lineage: Bacteria; Pseudomonadati; Pseudomonadota; Gammaproteobacteria; Pseudomonadales; Pseudomonadaceae
Description: sucA-II RNA
Rfam family: sucA-II RNA
Source: RNAcentral
UGCGGCGCCGAUGUCCUCGGCGCCGUAGUUUUAGCCGGAAACCGGGCCCAAAAAGCUCGGAAUUCGCCUUGAAAUCGAUGACCAGCAGGGGCAUCCGGGCUGGUGCCCGGACUAUCUGCGGGGCCCGUGGUGGCUUGCUCGAGUCGCUGCCUCAGCGCUCAGGCAAGUCAUGCCGCGGUUUCCACGCCGGUGGUGUCCCCUUAUAGAGGGUGACCA